AGCAGCCGCGGUAAUUCCAGCUCCAAUAGCGUAUAUUAAAGUUGUUGCAGUUAAAAAGCUCGUAGUUGAAUUUCGGGGUCAAUAAGUUGGUCGUGCCUAUGGUAUGCACUGGCUUUAUUGAUUCCUACCUCUUGACGAACUGUGAUGCCAUUAAUUUGGUGUCGCAAGGAAUCAGGACUGUUACCUUGAAAAAAUUAGAGUGUUUAAAGCAGGCUUACGCUUGAAUACAUUAGCAUGGAAUAAUGAAAUAGGACGUUUGAACCUAUUUUGUUGGUUUCUAGGAUCGACGUAAUGAUUAAUAGGGAUAGUUGGGGGCAUUAGUAUUCAAUUGUCAGAGGUGAAAUUCUUGGAUUUAUUGAAGACUAACUACUGCGAAAGCAUUUGCCAAGGAUGUUUUCAUUAAUCAAGAACGAAAGUUAGGGGAUCGAAGACGAUCAGAUACCGUCGUAGUCUUAACCAUAAACUAUGCCGACUAGGGAUCGGAUGAUGUUAAUUUUUAAUGACUCAUUCGGCGCCUUAC
Molecule: ribosomal RNA, 520 nt
Filed under: uncultured Glomus
Lineage: Eukaryota; Fungi; Glomeromycota; Glomeromycetes; Glomerales; Glomeraceae
Description: SSU rRNA
Rfam family: Eukaryotic small subunit ribosomal RNA
Source: RNAcentral